GUACUGUGUCGGUACUUUAUUGGCUCCCACCCCCCAAAAGUGACUGUCUGCAAGUGCCCAAUAACUUCAUCAGCUAGACUGCGCCGCUAAACCACAAAUGCACAAUUUUCAUAGGGAGUCCUGGGUGUUGUCGGGUUUGUUUGAGCACUUGUGUUCAUUUCAGUUGCGUAAUUUAGAGCCUGAGAACUGGGAGAGUGAGGUGAACAGAACAAAGCUGUGUAUUAAGAGCUUUAUUUUGGGAAUAUGGGGAGAAUUUAUUUUACCCACCUUCCUAACCUCAACCUACCCAACCGUAGCCACGCCAGACCAUGAGAAGAAUCCUGGGAACUGUCGUUUGUUAAAGACCCUCUUCUCGAGCGCUAAUGUGUAAGGCUGAACAACUGAGAGAAGCCACCCCAGUCUUUUCCUUCCCCUCGAACACGGCCGUCUAGCCAGGGAGCCGAGAAGACAAAUCUCCUGCGCUGCAGAGCUGCUGGCCGCUCCGCCAUCCUUGAACCUCUCUCGCACCCGCCCCUCCAUCGCUCUCGUCCACUAACCUGUACCGGA
This is a non-coding RNA of Zootoca vivipara (common lizard), 546 nucleotides long. The record is from RefSeq and is a predicted model, not a curated record. Lineage: Eukaryota; Metazoa; Chordata; Lepidosauria; Squamata; Lacertidae.